AGAACGAACGCUGGCGGCGUGGAUAAGACAUGCAAGUCGAACGCGACUUAUCAGGUUAGCAAUAACUCGGUAAGUUGAGUGGCGAAAGGGUGCGUAACACGUGGGAAUUUACCAAGAAGUGGGGAAUAGCUCGACGAAAGUCGAAUUAAUACCGCAUACGAUCGAAAGAUCAAAGCCGGGGACCGCAAGGCCUGGCGCUUUUUGAGAAGCCCGCGGCCCAUCAGCUAGUUGGCGGGGUAAAAGCCCACCAAGGCUAUGACGGGUAGCUGGUCUGAGAGGACGACCAGCCACACUGGAACUGAGACACGGUCCAGACACCUACGGGUGGCAGCAGUCGAGAAUUUUUUCACAAUGGACGAAAGUCUGAUGGAGCGACGCCGCGUGGAGGAUGAAGGUUCUUGGAUUGUAAACUCCUGUCACUGCAGACAAGGAUACGUGUGUGAACAGCACGCGUAUUU
Molecule: ribosomal RNA, 458 nt
Filed under: uncultured bacterium
Lineage: Bacteria
Description: SSU rRNA
Rfam family: Bacterial small subunit ribosomal RNA
Source: RNAcentral